UUAAAAAAUCUUAACAAUGUGAGUAAGGUAGGAGACUAUUUUUUGAAUAAAGACAUGAGUUUUGUCCAUUAUAUUGAGAAGAAGUUGAUCAUAGAUACUACACUCAGAUUGCAUUGGAGACCAAACCAAACUUCUGC
RNAcentral lists this small nucleolar RNA (137 nucleotides) under Oryza sativa Japonica Group (Japanese rice). Its description in RNAcentral is "Small nucleolar RNA J26". The record is from RNAcentral. Lineage: Eukaryota; Viridiplantae; Streptophyta; Magnoliopsida; Poales; Poaceae.